Bufo gargarizans (Asiatic toad) is the source of this 1000-nucleotide long non-coding RNA. RefSeq lists it as uncharacterized. The transcript has 4 exons. Lineage: Eukaryota; Metazoa; Chordata; Amphibia; Anura; Bufonidae. The record is from RefSeq and is a predicted model, not a curated record.
GCCCCCAUCCCUAAAUGGGGCCCCCUGCUGAGCUGCCCAGACAGAUGUAGAUGAGAGCUGGUGGCCGCACCUGAGAGGAGCACAGACAGCACAGCAAGGAGCGCUGGUCCCUGGUGUCCCGCCUCCACAGCCGCCAGGCAGACCUGGCCCCGCCCCCUUCCUCUCUCUCUCAGCUGAGGCCCUGCACUGUGACGGUAAUGGCCUCCUCUGCUCUGGACCUGCAAUGACGUCACCGUGGUCUAAAACGUGUUCUGCAGAAAGAAAAACGUGUUCUUUAGGUUCUGCAGAAAGAAGAAAGAAGAGAAUACCGGUUGAGCGAUCAAUUGGAUGAGAUUUGAUGUCCACUUAAAUCUCUGCUUGCUGUCAGUAAAGGAUAUUCUCUGUGCCUGGCCGCUGGUCCUCCUCGCACAGCUUGAGGGGCCCCUCUGUGUUUGCGCCCACAUCAGAGAGAAUGAAGACAUGAAGCAGGAAUGCCUGACAUAUGGCUUGUUUUGUUCGCUCUGACAUUUUUCGGCAGUGUGUCCAGCCAUGGAGCAAGAAUUGGACUCGGUAUAAUUAGUGCAAAGAAAAGCGCAAUGUUACAUCCAAUGGAUUGAAUGACACUCGACCUUUAACAGAUCGGCCACAUUCCUUCCACAUUAGAGCAUUCAAUGGGUCUCUCAUGGACACAGUCCCACAAAGGACUCCGGGCUGGCAGGCACACGACCCACCGGGACCUUGUACACACAUGUCCUCCACUGUUCGCACGGGGGCUACUUUGACCCACAUUCUCUGCUGUGGAUUGUGUUGGAUGGUGCAAUUCUGUGCCAAGCCUUUCUGAUCUCACAGCUGAGGGUUUGUUACAAUGUGUCAGCCUUACCUAAACUUACCCACAUGAAAAAUUCCAUAUGGCUUCAAGAUGGUCUCAUUUACAUCAGAAUGGGCUCUUUAAAGGGGUAUUCCCAUCUUGUUCAUCCUGUUUGGUUCAAUUCUAUACCCCCCAUUGAGCCUUUCUCUAAAU